CUCAGGCAGGGGCGGACAUAUCACUUGUUCAGCCGGUUCUGCUGCACAGGGGCCCAGCGUGUUAGGGGGCCCACCUAGUAUCCCAGGUCACAGCCUGGGCCUCACAGACUGGGCCCCUGCAGGGCCCUCUGCCAGUACUUCAUACUCUAUGUUGCAGCAACAGGUCCCGGACCUGCCGCUGACAGCAGUAAUUUACCUCGGCCGGAAGAGACGGACAGGCCAGGGGCUGAUGGGAACAGACGUGCCCCGCACAGGCACGCACGUCUGUUCCAAGCCCCUGAUGUCACGUGUCAUGGCCUCUGACCCCGGCAGAAGCGACAGGAGCAGCAAACCCUCCCGCCUCACACGGCCGCAUCGCUGAGCAGAUAAGAGGAUGAGGAUCUACUGACAAAUUAAGGAACCAAUGAUGUCCGGGUGUCAGACUCUGCAGAGAAGAUGGAAGAAAUCCUGGUGUCUGGACCAGAUGAAGAAGAAAAGUAAAGACAACAGAGAAGACGUCACUCAGGUCACAUGUUAUUUCCUUAGUAAAGAGGAUCAGAUGGACUCUGCCUCCAAAAAUGAGAAACUUGGUAGCCAAGAAUGCACCAAAUGCCAUCUGUGAUCAGGCUUGUUACACCGAUGUCUGGAGAAAUGGCGCCACUCCCUGAAUUUUCCACAAUCACACUGGAUAUUGUCAAAGUUUCACAACGGAAGGAAGUAGAGGAAAAUUCUUUGGACGGGUGGAUGGUGAGAGUGGUGUUCCCAGAAAGUUCAACUCCCAGCCGAAUUAUUAUUAAUCUGAUAAUCCAGAAAAUCUAGUUUGGUUUUGACUCAAUAUUAAUUCUGCCGCGUAGUAAAUGAUGUAGAUUUUUGCUUUUGUUCCAUUUUUUCCUCCUCCAGCUCCGCACAUAACCUGCACAGAACACAGGUCUGCAAACAAUCAGUUUUAUUGUAUGAAAUAUGUGUUUUAUGAUUCAGCAAGUGUUACUGUUCUUUUUGGCAUA
This is a long non-coding RNA of Hyla sarda, 983 nucleotides long. RefSeq lists it as uncharacterized. Lineage: Eukaryota; Metazoa; Chordata; Amphibia; Anura; Hylidae. The record is from RefSeq and is a predicted model, not a curated record. The transcript is spliced from 4 exons.